RNAcentral lists this transfer RNA (72 nucleotides) under Deltaproteobacteria bacterium. RNAcentral's name for it is "tRNA-Gln". It matches the Rfam family "tRNA". From Rfam's summary of the family: Transfer RNA (tRNA) molecules are approximately 80 nucleotides in length. The record is from RNAcentral. Lineage: Bacteria; Pseudomonadati; Myxococcota; Myxococcia.
UGGCCGGUCGCCAAGUGGUAAGGCACCAGGUUUUGAUCCUGGCAUACGUAGGUUCGACCCCUACCCGGCCAA